UUUAAAUUUAGAGUUUGAUCCUGGCUCAGGACGAACGCUGGCGGCGUGCUUAACACAUGCAAGUCGAGCGAUGAAACUUCCUUCGGGAAGUGGAUUAGCGGCGGACGGGUGAGUAACACGUGGGUAACCUGCCUCAAAGUGGGGGAUAGCCUUCCGAAAGGAAGAUUAAUACCGCAUAAUAUAAGAGAAUCCCAUGAUUUUCUUAUCAAAGAUUUAUUGCUUUGAGAUGGACCCGCGGCGCAUUAGCUAGUUGGUAAGGUAACGGCUUACCAAGGCAACGAUGCGUAGCCGACCUGAGAGGGUGAUCGGCCACAUUGGAACUGAGACACGGUCCAGACUCCUACGGGAGGCAGCAGUGGGGAAUAUUGCGCAAUGGGGGAAACCCUGACGCAGCAACGCCGCGUGGGUGAUGAAGGUCUUCGGAUUGUAAAGCCCUGUUUUCUAGGACGAUAAUGACGGUACUAGAGGAGGAAGCCACGGCUAACUACGUG
RNAcentral lists this ribosomal RNA (491 nucleotides) under Clostridium combesii. Its description in RNAcentral is "bacterial SSU rRNA". It matches the Rfam family "Bacterial small subunit ribosomal RNA", at positions 1 to 507 of the family's 1533-position model. Lineage: Bacteria; Bacillati; Bacillota; Clostridia; Eubacteriales; Clostridiaceae. The record is from RNAcentral.